RNAcentral lists this ribosomal RNA (433 nucleotides) under uncultured bacterium. RNAcentral's name for it is "partial 16S ribosomal RNA". It matches the Rfam family "Bacterial small subunit ribosomal RNA", at positions 29 to 507 of the family's 1533-position model. The record is from RNAcentral.
AACGAACGCUGGCGGCAUGCCUAACACAUGCAAGUCGAACGAGACCUUCGGGUCUAGUGGCGCACGGGUGCGUAACGCGUGGGAACCUGCCCUUAGGCUCGGAAUAACUCCCCGAAAGGGGUGCUAAUACCGGAUAAUGUCUUCGGACCAAAGAUUUAUCGCCUUUGGAUGGGCCCGCGUUGGAUUAGCUAGUUGGUAGGGUAAAAGCCUACCAAGGCGACGAUCCAUAGCUGGUCUGAGAGGAUGAUCAGCCACACUGGGACUGAGACACGGCCCAGACUCCUACGGGAGGCAGCAGUGGGGAAUAUUGGACAAUGGGCGAGAGCCUGAUCCAGCAAUGCCGCGUGAGUGAUGAAGGCCUUAGGGUUGUAAAGCUCUUUUACCCGGGAUGAUAAUGACAGUACCGGGAGAAUAAGCUCCGGCUAACUCCGUG